CAGUCGCCACGGUAAAACGAAGGGGGCUAGCGUUGUUCGGAUUUACUGGGCGUAAAGGGCGCGUAGGCGGACUGAUAAGUCAGGGGUGAAAUCCCAAGGCUCAACCUUGGAACUGCCUUUGAUACUGUUUGUCUUGAGUUCGAGAGAGGUAAGUGGAACUGCGAGUGUAGAGGUGAAAUUCGUAGAUAUUCGCAAGAACACCAGUGGCGAAGGCGGCUUACUGGCUCGAAACUGACGCUGAGGCGCGAAAGCAUGGGGAGCAAACAGGAUUAGAUACCCCUGUAGUCCCUGUCUCUUAUAC
RNAcentral lists this ribosomal RNA (301 nucleotides) under uncultured bacterium. RNAcentral's name for it is "partial 16S ribosomal RNA". It matches the Rfam family "Bacterial small subunit ribosomal RNA", at positions 509 to 807 of the family's 1533-position model. The record is from RNAcentral.